GCUCUGUCUUGGGCUCUCUGCCCUCUAGAAUCUUUCUUUGUGAUAUCAUCAGUUCCCAUGGUUUCAAUGAUAUCAGUGUUGAUGAUCCCUAAAUCUAAAUAUCCAGCCUUAAUCUCUCUCCUAAGCUCUAGUAUGAAACGAUCAACUACUGUCUCACAGGCACUGUGCUGAGCCUGGGGAAUACUUGGAAUGUCACCUCAAAAAUUCUGUUCAUUCUCUUCACAAGUGUGAAGAUAGGAUCAACUAUCCCCUUGCCUAUUGUUGCAGUCCAGCCCAUAGGUAUUAUAAAGAGACAAGGUUUGUGAAUGGGCACAUGGCCAUUCUGCGCAUGGCAAUGAACUCUUUCCCAGCGUGGCUAAAGUUAGGGCGUGAAAACCCUGCUUCCUUUUGUCUCACUCACCUGAGGAUAAAAACUCCACCCUUCACCUUGUCGCGAUUUGCAAUUAUCCAAUGGCAAUACACUAGGUAACUCAUCUAUAUGUAUUGAGGCAUUGUGUAACUUAUCAAUAUGUAUUGAGUUCAUUUGCAUAGACAAUAAAUUGGAAAGCCAUGGA
Molecule: long non-coding RNA, 554 nt
Organism: Monodelphis domestica (gray short-tailed opossum)
Lineage: Eukaryota; Metazoa; Chordata; Mammalia; Didelphimorphia; Didelphidae
Source: RefSeq, a predicted model, not a curated record